Molecule: long non-coding RNA, 615 nt
Filed under: Rattus norvegicus (Norway rat)
Lineage: Eukaryota; Metazoa; Chordata; Mammalia; Rodentia; Muridae
Description: long non-coding RNA NONRATT033396
Source: RNAcentral
GUUGGAAUUGGAAUCAAACUUUGGAAUAUUCUGGAACUUUCCAAACGUUGGUGUUCUGCUUCAGAGUUCAGUCAUGAACUCCAGCAUCUGAGGCUUGGUUAGCAGUUACUCUUGCUUGAAUGUGGUUGUGACUCUUAAUAGUUUAUGGUUUGGAAGCUUGGUCUAUGGUAUAGUGAUGCUGAGGUUAGAGGAGGUUUAGGAGAGGAAACGUAAAGUAAGAUAAUUAGGUCAUUGAAGUUAUUUCUCCUGAAAGGAAUGUUUAUUCUUUGGGAGGAAUACUGCUUACUUAAUUAAAGUGUUGUUACAAAAGAGAAUGACUGAUGCCUGCACUGCUUUGAUUUCUUGUCUUACCAGGUGUUUCUGUCAUUGUGACUCAUCUUCUGUGGGCUCCUUAUGAGAACUGAGAGUAGACUGCCUGCUUGAUGCUCCUGGAUUUUCAAAAGACCGGAGAUGAGAAUAUUGAUUGUUCACUGCCAUGUUUAUUCUGUCUGAAUCUGAGAAGUGCCACAGUUUAAAGUUCCCAUAAGUGAAUAUUUAUUGAAUAAAACCCACUGGAUGAUGAGGUUUCAUCUUGUUUGUGUUUAUGAAUAUUUCAAAUAAGAAAACCCUGAGAAU